CUGAAUCCUUGUACUUUGUAUGACACGUUUGCCCUUCUUUCCAUGAAAUUGGAACCCUAAUGAGGGCUGUUCUGUUCCGUACAUAGCGAGAGUCCUAAGACCAUCGACGCCGUGUUCCCAUCGUCCCUUCUCUUGACUUGAACGGGAAGCGAAGGCAGACCUAACCUGGACUGCUAACGGCGUCUUCUGACAAGACAAAGAGUAAUCACAACGUACAAUGCCUUUUGGUAAGAAGAAAAGCUCUUGGGAUCAAGAGGUACCAUUCUUAAAAGAAGAUAAAGUGCCCUUCUACACUAAUAUAUGCGCAGCUGCGGAGAUUCGCUACAGAAAAAAACCAGGGGAUACCAAAAAUUUGUCAAGAUGGGGAGAGGCUCUGAUGGGGUUGGCUGUGCUAAUGGAUACCGUAGAACCACAACAGCAGUACCUUCGAGAUGCAAUUAAAAAGUUAAAGGAGGCAUUAUCAAUUAAUGAGAAAGUGACUGACACUCAUUAUUUGCUGGGACUUGCUUACCCCACAAGUAUGGAAUUUUAACUAAAGAGUAUGAUAAGGCCCUUCCACGCUAUCAAUCUGCUUAUUACUCUUUCACCAAGGCUCACAAUCAGGAUCCUGAGAAUGAAGUUUAUUCUGAGUGGAUUAAGAUGUGUCACCAGUGUCAAAACUCACACGAGUCAUGGCAUGAUAUACGCUUAAGAAUUAUGACAAAGAGACCACUUAUUUCAUCAAGUGACGAGGAAGCAAAGGGAAUAUUGAAAGAGCUGGGCAUCUUUGGUGGGAUGGCGAUUGCAGUCGCUGUUGGCAUUCUUGCCAUGGGAUUUGGGCGCCUGUUGCGGCUUCUUUAAUUGGGCGCUUAACUUUAUUAGUUAAUGUGUGUUAAAGCUUAAAACUAUAUAUGCCUCUCUGAGUUGGAGUAUUUUUAUCUUUGUCUGUUUAAAUGUUGCUUAUUAUUUAAGAAUUUAAGACGAACAUUUUCGGGCACUCUGUGUGAAGGAGGACGCAUAUUUAUCUUGUUGGGA
Molecule: long non-coding RNA, 1014 nt
Organism: Tripterygium wilfordii
Lineage: Eukaryota; Viridiplantae; Streptophyta; Magnoliopsida; Celastrales; Celastraceae
Exons: 7
Source: RefSeq, a predicted model, not a curated record